RNAcentral lists this ribosomal RNA (253 nucleotides) under uncultured bacterium. RNAcentral describes it as "partial 16S ribosomal RNA". It matches the Rfam family "Bacterial small subunit ribosomal RNA", at positions 524 to 776 of the family's 1533-position model. The record is from RNAcentral.
UACGUAGGGUGCGAGCGUUAAUCGGAAUUAUUGGGCGUAAAGGGCGCGUAGGCGGCUUUUCAAGUGACGGGCGAAAUCCCUCGGCUUAACCGAGGAACUGCCUGUCAGACUGGAAGGCUUGAGACCGGGAGAGGUGAGUGGAAUUCCCAGUGUAGCGGUGAAAUGCGUAGAUAUCGGGAGGAACACCUGUGGCGAAAGCGGCGCACUGGACCACAACUGACGCUGAGGCGCGAAAGCUAGGGGAGCAAACAGG